This 253-nucleotide ribosomal RNA is filed under the name uncultured bacterium. RNAcentral's name for it is "partial 16S ribosomal RNA". It matches the Rfam family "Bacterial small subunit ribosomal RNA", at positions 524 to 776 of the family's 1533-position model. The record is from RNAcentral.
UACGUAGGGGGCAAGCGUUGUCCGGAAUUACUGGGCGUAAAGCGUGCGCAGGCGGUUCUAUAAGACAGAUGUGAGAUCCCCGGGCUCAACCUGGGAACUGCAUUUGUGACUGUAGAGCUGGAGUACGGCAGAGGGGGAUGGAAUUCCGCGUGUAGCAGUGAAAUGCGUAGAUAUGCGGAGGAACACCGAUGGCGAAGGCAAUCCCCUGGGCCUGUACUGACGCUCAUGCACGAAAGCGUGGGGAGCAAACAGG